UCAAAUGUGAAUCAAUUUUUAUUUGUUUAACAUUAAAAACAAUUGUGAUGCAUUUAAUUGCGAAGUGAAGUGAUCGUGAGUUGCUAAAUAGUCUUGAAAUAACUUUAUAGCCAUCAUAUAUUAGCUUAUCAUGCUGUGAAACGAAUUGUUAGCAUAUUCGUUUAACAAAACUGUAGCACGACUAGCAAGCUUGUGUUGACUUAGUGACUAUGGUAUGAUUAAUAAUCCUAGCCAGUACAAUAAACUGUAGCACUUUAUGCAUUGUUUUUCCACUUUAAGUAAGUUAAAAUAAUCUUAAUGUUUUAAAUGUCACGUGCGUGCUCACUGUCAGCCUGCCCAGGUCAAAAAAUACUAUAUUUCUAUAGUUAUGUUACCACAGCAACUAUAGAAUUACCACAAUAAAUUAAUUCAAGUACUUUACUAUAGUAUGGUUAAAAAAAAACUAUAGUAUUUACUAUAAAUUACUAUAGUAUUUUUUCACCUGGGCAUGUUUACCCCACUAUACAUGUUAUGAGCAUGUCUCUUCAUUUUGACAUUGUUUUUAUAAUGUUGAUUGAAGCAUUUGACAUUUUUAAUAGACAUAACAGAGAGGCCAUCAUAAUAAUUGACUGUUAAAAUACCACAUGUUAGAUUGUGUCACGUACUGUGUUCUCUAUAAGUGAUUUCAGUGCAGGCAAUAUAUGACAAAAGAAUAAUAAAUAAAUUGGUCAAGUACUAGGCUUAGGCCUAAUUUAUGUCUAUUUAUUUAUAUGAAAUGAACUUAAAAUGUUUUAUUUGACCAAUUGGACUCUCUCUUUUUCAAGAAACACAUAACAAUCCAAGAAGGAAGAUCCUUUCCUGGACUAAAGAGAUGCACUACAUGCUGCAAGGAGUUCCUCUGCCCGUUCUGCAGUUCUGCUUUGUUUCACCCAACAAAGUUGAGCAAAGUGAAAUCCCGUUUGGAGAGCCAUUUCAAACACACAGUUCUCUAUGAAAACCAUCAUAUAUGGCCUGUCUGUGCUGCAGAAUUUCUCUGUGGGAUGUUGAGAAGGCCUUCUUCUCUGGUCCGGAUUAUCAUCACAGUGAAGUGUAAGAAUUUAAUAGAGUGAGAGAGAAACAAUUGAGAAAAGAGGGGAGAACAUCCAAUUGGAGUCAGUGAAGACGUCACUUAAGUUCUUUCUGUGUGGUUCACGUCAUGAACAAAUUUGUUGUUGUGUGUUCAACUGUUGUAAUAUAUUAUUUUAUAAAAUAUACACAAUCUUAAAUAUACCCCCAGAGUCAUCCUUGUGUCUUCCCUCUGUACUUGAAAAUGUGGUUUAUCUGAAUGAAAAGGCUAUACCUUGAUUCCUUGUUUAUUUUACUUGAUGACUUUACUAGAUUAUGCUAGUUAGUCACAAUAAUUAAUCAACAUUCAGCUCUUGGCAACCAGGUUUAUUUGCAAGAAUGAAAGUAGUAUUUGGGUAUUAUAAACCUUUUAAAAACUCUAAUUAGUUAGAAUUGGGUGGAAAUACUGCCUUGGUGGCACUUUUUUCGGUUAUCCAAUACUAGGGUCCUGGAAAUGCGGUCCUGGCACUGUGGUCCUGAAAGUGCAGCUUCCGGUAUUGCAGACGGAUAAUAUUGGUAAAAUUGGCAAUUUUAACAUGUGGGUCAGUGAGAUUCUGCUCUCUUUUGGAGCCUGUCCCUAGCUGCCAGUCAAUGAAUUGCAGUUUAAGUCACUUCCGUAUUGGCUUCAAGAGAAACUGGGGGAGGUUGCUGCUUGUUACACCCUGAACCAGUGGCUCAACACAAACCAGCUAUAGGUGGAGAGGAGAGAGAGUAUUCAUAGUCCUGAAAAGAAUGUUCUUAAAAAUAAUCAUCAAUAACUUCUUAAAGUUAGGAUAACCUCCAACCUGUCUUAAAUCCACAAAGGAACAUUCUUACGAACUUCUUGGAAAUAUUUCUUAAGACGAUUUUUGUGAAUCCAGCCCCAGCAGUGAAAAAGAAUGUCAUGAUUAUAAAUACAGCUUUUUGCAAAUGCAAAAUGCAAAUGUCUUCAGAAAUAGCGUAGUGCAUGGCCAAAAUUUGUUAUGAAGAAUAUAGAAAAAUAAAGCAUCUUUUGACAUUUACUUUGUCUUGAAUAUUAAUAACACCACCUACAGACACCACCUGAACUACAACAACAAUUUUCAACACUUUGGUAUCUGAUACUGUGUGUCUCUUUGACUGCUGGUGUAGAUGAAGGUGGUGUGAAAACCUGGUUUGACCUCAGAGCUUCUAACCUAAAGGAUGUGGGUUUGAAUCCCACAUAGGGUGAUCUUUGCACCUU
Molecule: long non-coding RNA, 2284 nt
Organism: Ctenopharyngodon idella (grass carp)
Lineage: Eukaryota; Metazoa; Chordata; Actinopteri; Cypriniformes; Xenocyprididae
Exons: 4
Source: RefSeq, a predicted model, not a curated record